RNAcentral lists this long non-coding RNA (4883 nucleotides) under Brassica napus (rape). RNAcentral's name for it is "long non-coding RNA (BNAP_LNC001375)". The record is from RNAcentral. Lineage: Eukaryota; Viridiplantae; Streptophyta; Magnoliopsida; Brassicales; Brassicaceae.
ACUUGCAAGAGGCGGUGCCACGCUCUACUUGUGCUCUCUCUCUUCUGUCAGCUCAGUCCCAACAACACUUGUCUGAAACUAAUCCAAACAAAAGCUUCUCAAUCACUCAACCAAGCCAAAACCUCAACCACUCUACAGGAGACUAUCAUCAGAUGCAGCCGUUGAGGAUCGAUCCUGGUAAGAAGACCAAAUCUGUUACUAGUUCUAGUUCAUGUAAUGGAAACGGAUCAUCCACGGUUGAUCUACUGCAACUGUCAUCACAUCUUCAGAGAAUCCAGCAACAACAGAGGACUUUCACUGAUGAUGUGAAGCAGGAAUAUAAUGAGCUUUAUUUCCCCUAGCUCCUAAUUAAAAUAAGGCAAAGCUAAGGCUGCUUGGUUUGGUUUGAUUAGUUUGGUGAUUUUACUGGAUUCGUGAGAUGGUUAGAUUAGGGGAAUGAAGAUCAAGUCUGGUUACAACUUACACAUGUUUUUUUUUUGUAACUGAUACUUGUUUAUUCUAUCUAUGCCUGCUUCCUUUGCAAGUCUUUUUUUUUCUUAUUUUUGAGACAAUUUGUAUAUAUAACGAUGUAAUGAAUAUACUUCAACAAAUAUCUGAUGUUUCAGUUUGGCCAGAGAGAUUGGCAACAAAAAGCGUCUUAUUCUUCCGUGAACGUCCUGAAUUUGAGAGCCAAGUGCGUGUUAGCAUCUAACAAAAUAUUCUGAAGAUAAUUAAUAAGAUGUACCUCAACAAAACCUAGAGUUUGAUCAAGUCCUUCUGUUGUCUCAGAGUUACAAGAUGCUUAUUUGACCAUAAACUUGUAGUUUGCAAACAUUACCUCAACUUCUAGUUUAAAUUUCCCCCACAAAACUAUACCAUCACUGAGAUUAAUUACCCACGUUGUCUCUAACAAUUCGACCCUUCAGUUGAUCAGCUGGAGACUACUAUUAUAUAUCCCAUAUCGAACACAGUUGUGAUCUUUGGACCGUAGAUAUUGAUGUGGCAUUAAUCUUUCACUUUUGAGCAAUUCUGGAGUGUGAAUUAUGUCUAUUAUUAAUAUGGUAUCAGAGCUAGGUUAAAAACUCAGAUAUAUCCUAUAAGGGGUUCAUUUUUUCUGUGGAUUCUGCAAUGUUGAGUUUGUGUUAUUUCUAUUGGAUCUUUUCCUAUCCACAUCGACAUAAUUGUGAUCUUUGGGUGUAGAAAUCUUUCACUCUUGAUCUAGUGUUUGGAUAUUAGUUAGGCCUAUAACUAAUAGCUACCAUCUAAUCAAAUGCUUUCGUGGUCUCCUUCUCCUUAUGUCUUAAUCUCCAAUUCAUCUUCCAGAUUUCGUUUACACAAUAAAUUAGUUUUGGCUGCUGGUUUCUGGCUAGAACUGGCCAUGGAGAAUAUGAAACCAGUGAGGAGAAAGUGAAAGUGGCAGCAAUAAGUUAUACUAUCUUUGUUUUAAAAUGAUCCAUAUUCUAGAAAAAGUUUUUGUUUCAAAAAGAUAGAUAUUUUAUGUUUUCAGUAUAUGUAAUAAUGAUAAAUAAUAAUAUUAAGAAAAGUAAUUGUGUCUAUUGAAUUUUGCUCGGCUACUAUUUAUGGAAAAUAAUUAAUCAUAAAAAUAUUAUAUUUAUAAUAAAAAUUUAAAAUGUUUUAUUAAUAAGGGUGAAAAUCUUAAAACAUAUAUCUUAUUGAAAUGGAGGGAAUAUUAUGUAUCUCUAUAAUAUUAUUUGAAAAGUUAAUUUUCUACGUAUCGAUUUCACAUUAAUUUUUACGAUGGUUAAUCACUGAGAUACCUUUAAUGAAUUAAAAUAUUAUUCUUAACUGGCACUAUUAAAAAUUAUUUAAUAAUUUAUCCCAAUUAAAUUAUUAAUUUUAGUUUCCUUUUUUUCCUAAUUUUCAAAUCAUGAAUAAUUAAAAGGAAAUAUUCAUAUAAUAAAAAAAUAUUAACAAAAAUAAAACACAUAUUUUGUAAAAGUAAAUUUAUGAGAAUGAAAAUAUAUUUUAUAUAUAAUGCGACUUCAUAAAAAGAAAAGUUUUUAAAAAUAGUUUUGAUGUUAAAAUAAUCAUCUUUGUAAAACAUAAUAUAAAAGAGCAUAAUAUUUUUUAAAUUAAUAAAAUAUUUUAUUGAUAUCAAAAUAUUUUCUCAGAUUAUUACAAAAGUAAAUUUAAUUAAAAUAUACUAAAAAUCUUUGAUGAACUUAAAGUAUUUUAUAAUUGCUACUGUUGAGAUCUUUAUUCAUUUUUUUAAAAAUUUUAAUUUUGAUUUAUAUUAUGUAUAUAAUUGUUUAUCAAUUACAUAAAUAAAAAUAUCUACAAAAUUUAAUGAAACCUAAUAUACCACUAACUGUGUUCAAUGCUUACUUUAAUGUUUUUAAUUUUGAUAUAUUAUACAACAUAAGAUACCUAUAAUAAAAAUAAAAAAUGUGAAUUUUUAUGGUUAGUAUUAUUCAGAUUCCUUUUAAUUUGUCUCAUAUAACUGAAGUAUAAAGUUACUAAUAAUUUUAAAAAUUAUUAUGUAGAUAUCGAUAUCAGUUCAUACGUUUUAAAUUUUUAUCGAUAAUGUCUGUUUAUAAACUUUGUACAUAUCAUCACUUCAGUGUUUAUACUAUUUUUAAUAAUCAAAAUAUAAAAUUGUAAAAAAUAAUUACGACUAUAAUUACAGUUUUAAGAUGAAGAACUAAAUUAACGUAAUAAAUAAAACUAAUCAAAAUUAGCUUAACUAGAGACAAGAGUAGUUAACUUCGAUUUGAAGAAACAUGUGUAACUCAAUAUAACCCGCAAAUGAGUAAUUUGCAUAAUACAAAUUUCUAUACCAAAAAUCAAAAGUUUAAAUACAAAAAAACAAAAUUAAUUAAAAUUUUAUUCUAUUUCAGCACAAAAAAAUACUAUGGUUGUUGAAAGAAAAAUAUUAUGAUUAUAUAUAAAGAAAUAAAUGCAAUCUGGUAUACUCAAGUAAUAACUAAAUCAAAUUAAUAUUAUAUAUCCAAAUUACAUGUAUAAGUAAAAUGACAUAAUAUUAUUUGUACAUAUCGUUUGUGUUGUAUGGUUUUAUGUUUGUAGCUCUAUGAACUUUUGUAGUCCGAAACUUUAAGUUUUUUAAUGAAAGUGUUGUUCCAAAAAAAAAAAUUGAGAGUUGUUAUUCAAAGUUUGGAGCUAGUAUCUUAUCACACAGUUCUGCUACUAAUUUAGCAGUAAAAAAAAUUGGACAUUUCGAGGAAUUUGCAAUAGAUUGUGAAGCUCGGUCAGUAAGAGACUGCAAUGAACGUCACUUUAGGGCAAUCUGUCCACUAUUAGUAGACAAAAUGUUAGUACAUUCGUUCGUUGCGAGUGUCGUAGUCGCCGCUGAAGUGGCUGGUGACGAGUUGUGAGUCGCAGUAUACGCUAAGUCUUUUUGCUUUGACUGCCUUCGCCAAUCGUAAGCCUGCGAUAAGAGAUUCGUAUUCCGCUUCGUUGUUGGAGGAGGCAAAGCCAAAACUGAACGAUUGCCUGAUUAACUCGCCAUUCGGUGACUGCAGUUGAACUCCUGCACCCGAUCUUUUGUUUGUUGAUGAAACGUCGACGUGCAGGAUCCAAUUUUGGCUUGGGAGGAUCAGAUCUUGUUCCAGUUCGGGUGCAAGUUCGAUCAGGAAGUUGGCUAGAAUCUGUGACUUAGCGGCUGUCCGAUUCUCGAAUACGAUGUCGUGUUUGCUAAGCUCGAUGGCCCACUUUGACAGUCGACCUUACUUAUUCGUGUUCUGAAUUACGGUGUGAAGGGGCUGGUUAGUCAGUACUUCAAUCUUGUGUGAUUGGAAGUAAGGGCGCAAUUUUUUCGUCGAAGUGAUGAAGGCGAGGGCCAUUUUCUCGAGCGUAGAGUAUCGCGUUUCCGGGUCAGUCAUUCGCUUCCUCGUAUAGAAGAUGGGUUUUUGUCCGCCCAUAUCCUCUCGGAUAAGCAAGCUGUUGACUACAUUAGAAGAUACUGCGAUGUAAAGAGAGAGAGUAUAUCGCCGACCUCUGCCUUAGAUAACACGGGAGGGUGGUGAGAUACUGCUUGAGCUGUCCUAAUGCCUCUUUGCAUUUCUCGUCCCAGACAAACUUCUUAUUUCCUCGAAGUAAUUCGUAAAACGGGAGACACUUAUCGGUGGAUCGAGAGAUAAAUCGGUUGAACGAUGCGAUUCUUCUGGUUAAAACGAUGGACCUCUCGGCUGUUCUUUGGGCUGGGAAAGUUGAGUAUCACAGUGAUCUGUUUAGGAUUCGCUUCGAUUCCUUGUUUGGUAACGAUAUAGCCCAAGAACUCGCCUGAGGUAACACCAAAGUUGCAUUUCGCUGGGUUGAAUUUCAUGUGUAUUCGUUCAGCGUCUUGAAACAAUCUUCUUCUGGUCAGGUUUCAUUUCCUCUCGGAGUUUGAUGAUGGCAAGAGAAGUUGCAGAAGACGAUUAGCUGGUCACAACGAGCGAAGAAGAAAGCCUUCUUUCUAUUUCUUACCCGGUAAGCGGCAUAAGCUUCUUCCUCAAGGUACUUAGUCUCUGCCUCUCCCUUCCCCAUCACUUAACUAUGUUUCUUUUAAUGACUUCUCGUUGGUCUUGCCAGAGUCGUUUCCUGGUAGCUUCUUGUACGACCACCGUGCAAGUAGUCUCGUGAGUUUCAAAGAUGAACCUAAGCCAGCGAUGGAAGCUUCUGGUGUAUCUUAUAUUUGGGACUUGCAAGAGGCGGUGCCACGCUCUACUUGUGCUCUCUCUCUUCUGUCAGCUCAGUCCCAACAACACUUGUCUGAAACUAAUCCAAACAAAAGCUUCUCAAUCACUCAACCAAGCCAAAACCUCAACCACUCUACAGGAGACUAUCAUCAGAUGCAGCCGUUGAGGAUCGAUCCUGGUAAGAAGACCAAAUCUGUUACUAGUUCUAGUUCAUGUAAUGGAAACGGAUCAUCCACGGUUGAUCUA